GACGAACGCUGGCGGCGUGCUUAACACAUGCAAGUCGAACGGUGAAGGGACUGGUUUUGCUGGUCCUGGAUGAGUGGCGAACGGGUGAGUAACACGUGAGUAACCUGCCCCCUUCUUCUGGAUAACCGCAUGAAAGUGUGGCUAAUACGGGAUAUUCUGGGUCUGUCGCAUGGUGGGCCUGGGAAAGAUUGCGCCUUUUUUGGUGUUUUUGGUGGGGGAUGGGCUCGCGGCCUAUCAGCUUGUUGGUGGGGUGAUGGCCUACCAAGGCGGUGACGGGUAGCCGGCCUGAGAGGGGGGACGGUCACACUGGGACUGAGACACGGCCCAGACUCCUACGGGAGGCAGCAGUGGGGAAUAUUGCACAAUGGGCGCAAGCCUGAUGCAGCGACGCCGCGUGAGGGAUGGAGGCCUUCGGGUUGUGAACCUCUUUCGCCAGUGAAGCAGGCCUGCCUCUUUUUGUGGGUGGGUUGACGGUAGCUGGAUAAGAAGCGCCGGCUAACUACGUG
This 506-nucleotide ribosomal RNA is filed under the name uncultured bacterium. RNAcentral's name for it is "partial 16S ribosomal RNA". It matches the Rfam family "Bacterial small subunit ribosomal RNA", at positions 28 to 507 of the family's 1533-position model. The record is from RNAcentral.